GGGUUGUGAGGUUAAGCGACUAAGCGUACACGGUGGAUGCCCUGGCAGUCAGAGGCGAUGAAGGACGUGCUAAUCUGCGAUAAGCGUCGGUAAGGUGAUAUGAACCGUUAUAACCGGCGAUUUCCGAAUGGGGAAACCCAGUGUGAUUCGUCACACUAUCAUUAACUGAAUCCAUAGGUUAAUGAGGCGAACCGGGGGAACUGAAACAUCUAAGUACCCCGAGGAAAAGAAAUCAACCGAGAUUCCCCCAGUAGCGGCGAGCGAACGGGGAGGAGCCCAGAGCCUGAAUCAGUGUGUGUGUUAGUGGAAGCGUCUGGAAAGGCGCGCGAUACAGGGUGACAGCCCCGUACACAAAAAUGCACAUGCUGUGAGCUCGAUGAGUAGGGCGGGACACGUGGUAUCCUGUCUGAAUAUGGGGGGACCAUCCUCCAAGGCUAAAUACUCCUGACUGACCGAUAGUGAACCAGUACCGUGAGGGAAAGGCGAAAAGAACCCCGGCGAGGGGAGUGAAAAAGAACCUGAAACCGUGUACGUACAAGCAGUGGGAGCACAGAGCAAUCUGUGUGACUGCGUACCUUUUGUAUAAUGGGUCAGCGACUUAUAUUCUGUAGCAAGGUUAACCGAAUAGGGGAGCCGAAGGGAAACCGAGUCUUAACUGGGCGUUAAGUUGCAGGGUAUAGACCCGAAACCCGGUGAUCUAGCCAUGGGCAGGUUGAAGGUUGGGUAACACUAACUGGAGGACCGAACCGACUAAUGUUGAAAAAUUAGCGGAUGACUUGUGGCUGGGGGUGAAAGGCCAAUCAAACCGGGAGAUAGCUGGUUCUCCCCGAAAGCUAUUUAGGUAGCGCCUCGUGAAUUCAUCUCCGGGGGUAGAGCACUGUUUCGGCAAGGGGGUCAUCCCGACUUACCAACCCGAUGCAAACUGCGAAUACCGGAGAAUGUUAUCACGGGAGACACACGGCGGGUGCUAACGUCCGUCGUGAAGAGGGAAACAACCCAGACCGCCAGCUAAGGUCCCAAAGUCAUGGUUAAGUGGGAAACGAUGUGGGAAGGCCCAGACAGCCAGGAUGUUGGCUUAGAAGCAGCCAUCAUUUAAAGAAAGCGUAAUAGCUCACUGGUCGAGUCGGCCUGCGCGGAAGAUGUAACGGGGCUAAACCAUGCACCGAAGCUGCGGCAGCGACACUGUGUGUUGUUGGGUAGGGGAGCGUUCUGUAAGCCUGUGAAGGUGUGCUGUGAGGUAUGCUGGAGGUAUCAGAAGUGCGAAUGCUGACAUAAGUAACGAUAAAGCGGGUGAAAAGCCCGCUCGCCGGAAGACCAAGGGUUCCUGUCCAACGUUAAUCGGGGCAGGGUGAGUCGACCCCUAAGGCGAGGCCGAAAGGCGUAGUCGAUGGGAAACAGGUUAAUAUUCCUGUACUUGGUGUUACUGCGAAGGGGGGACGGAGAAGGCUAUGUUGGCCGGGCGACGGUUGUCCCGGUUUAAGCGUGUAGGCUGGUUUUCCAGGCAAAUCCGGAAAAUCAAGGCUGAGGCGUGAUGACGAGGCACUACGGUGCUGAAGCAACAAAUGCCCUGCUUCCAGGAAAAGCCUCUAAGCAUCAGGUAACAUCAAAUCGUACCCCAAACCGACACAGGUGGUCAGGUAGAGAAUACCAAGGCGCUUGAGAGAACUCGGGUGAAGGAACUAGGCAAAAUGGUGCCGUAACUUCGGGAGAAGGCACGCUGAUAUGUAGGUGAAGUCCCUCGCGGAUGGAGCUGAAAUCAGUCGAAGAUACCAGCUGGCUGCAACUGUUUAUUAAAAACACAGCACUGUGCAAACACGAAAGUGGACGUAUACGGUGUGACGCCUGCCCGGUGCCGGAAGGUUAAUUGAUGGGGUUAGCGCAAGCGAAGCUCUUGAUCGAAGCCCCGGUAAACGGCGGCCGUAACUAUAACGGUCCUAAGGUAGCGAAAUUCCUUGUCGGGUAAGUUCCGACCUGCACGAAUGGCGUAAUGAUGGCCAGGCUGUCUCCACCCGAGACUCAGUGAAAUUGAACUCGCUGUGAAGAUGCAGUGUACCCGCGGCAAGACGGAAAGACCCCGUGAACCUUUACUAUAGCUUGACACUGAACAUUGAGCCUUGAUGUGUAGGAUAGGUGGGAGGCUUUGAAGUGUGGACGCCAGUCUGCAUGGAGCCGACCUUGAAAUACCACCCUUUAAUGUUUGAUGUUCUAACGUGGACCCGUGAUCCGGGUUGCGGACAGUGUCUGGUGGGUAGUUUGACUGGGGCGGUCUCCUCCUAAAGAGUAACGGAGGAGCACGAAGGUUGGCUAAUCCUGGUCGGACAUCAGGAGGUUAGUGCAAUGGCAUAAGCCAGCUUGACUGCGAGCGUGACGGCGCGAGCAGGUGCGAAAGCAGGUCAUAGUGAUCCGGUGGUUCUGAAUGGAAGGGCCAUCGCUCAACGGAUAAAAGGUACUCCGGGGAUAACAGGCUGAUACCGCCCAAGAGUUCAUAUCGACGGCGGUGUUUGGCACCUCGAUGUCGGCUCAUCACAUCCUGGGGCUGAAGUAGGUCCCAAGGGUAUGGCUGUUCGCCAUUUAAAGUGGUACGCGAGCUGGGUUUAGAACGUCGUGAGACAGUUCGGUCCCUAUCUGCCGUGGGCGCUGGAGAACUGAGGGGGGCUGCUCCUAGUACGAGAGGACCGGAGUGGACGCAUCACUGGUGUUCGGGUUGUCAUGCCAAUGGCACUGCCCGGUAGCUAAAUGCGGAAGAGAUAAGUGCUGAAAGCAUCUAAGCACGAAACUUGCCCCGAGAUGAGUUCUCCCUGACCCUUUAAGGGUCCUGAAGGAACGUUGAAGACAACGACGUUGAUAGGCCGGGUGUGUAAGCGCAGCGAUGCGUUGAGCUAACCGGUACUAAUGAACCGUGAGGCUUAACCUUACAACGCCGAAGGUGUUU
RNAcentral lists this ribosomal RNA (2932 nucleotides) under Escherichia coli O157:H7. Its description in RNAcentral is "23S ribosomal RNA". It matches the Rfam family "Bacterial large subunit ribosomal RNA". The record is from RNAcentral. Lineage: Bacteria; Pseudomonadati; Pseudomonadota; Gammaproteobacteria; Enterobacterales; Enterobacteriaceae.